GUCGAGGGGUAACAUUGUAGCUUGCUACAGAUGACGACCGGCGCACGGGUGCGUAACGCGUAUAGAACCUACCUUUUACUGGAGAAUAGCCUUUAGAAAUGAAGAUUAAUGCUCCAUGGUAUUGAGACUUGGCAUCAAGUUUUAAUUAAAGAUUUAUUGGUAAAAGAUGGCUAUGCGUCCUAUUAGUUAGAUGGUAAGGUAACGGCUUACCAUGACAUCGAUAGGUAGGGGUCCUGAGAGGGAGAUCCCCCACACUGGUACUGAGACACGGACCAGACUCCUACGGGAGGCAGCAGUGAGGAAUAUUGGGCAAUGGAGGCAACUCUGACCCAGCCAUGCCGCGUGCAGGAAGACGGCCCUAUGGGUUGUAAACUGCUUUUAUACAGGAAGAAACACUGGUAUGUAUACCAGCUUGACGGUACUGUAAGAAUAAGGACCGGCUAACUCCGUGCCAGCAGCCGCGGUAAUACGGAGGGUCCGAGCGUUAUCCGGAAUCAUUGGGUUUAAAGGGUCCGCAGGCGGUCAAUUAAGUCAGAGGUGAAAUCCCAUAGCUCAACUAUGGAACUGCCUUUGAUACUGGUUGACUUGAGUCAUAUGGAAGUAGAUAGAAUGUGUAGUGUAGCGGUGAAAUGCAUAGAUAUUACACAGAAUACCGAUUGCGAAGGCAGUCUACUACGUAUGUACUGACGCUGAGGGACGAAAGCGUGGGGAGCGAACAGGAUUAGAUACCCUGGUAGUCCACGCCGUAAACGAUGGAUACUAGUUGUUUGGCAUUAGCUAAGUGACUAAGCGAAAGUGAUAA
RNAcentral lists this ribosomal RNA (802 nucleotides) under uncultured Polaribacter sp. Its description in RNAcentral is "bacterial SSU rRNA". It matches the Rfam family "Bacterial small subunit ribosomal RNA", at positions 61 to 863 of the family's 1533-position model. The record is from RNAcentral. Lineage: Bacteria; Pseudomonadati; Bacteroidota; Flavobacteriia; Flavobacteriales; Flavobacteriaceae.